UGCCCGUCACAGGGGGAUAACCGGCGGAAACGGCGACUAAUACCCCAUAUGCUGCGAUGCUGCAUGGCAUUGCAAUGAAAGAUUCAUCGGUGGCGGAUAGGCUCGCGGGACAUUAGCUAGACGGCGGGGCAACGGCCCACCGUGGCGACGAUGUCUAGGGGUUCUGAGAGGAAGACCCCCCACACUGGGACUGAGACACGGCCCAGACUCCUACGGGAGGCAGCAGUGAGGAAUAUUGGUCAAUGGGCGGAAGCCUGAACCAGCCAUGCCGCGUGAAGGACUAAGGCCCUACGGGUCGUAAACUUCUUUAGACGCAGAGCAAUAAGGUCCACGUGUGGACCGAUGAGAGUAUGCGUAGAAUAAGCAUCGGCUAACUCCGUGCCAGCAGCCGCGGUAAUACGGGGGAUGCGAGCGUUAUCCGGAUUCAUUGGGUUUAAAGGGUGCGUAGGCGGCCGAGUAAGUCAGCGGUGAAAGACCGGGGCUCAACCCUGGAAGUGCCGUUGAUACUGUUUGGCUGGAAUGAUCCCGCCGCGGGAGGAAUGAGUGGUGUAGCGGUGAAAUGCAUAGAUAUCACUCAGAACACCGAUUGCGAAGGCAUCUCGCGAGGGGUCAAUUGACGCUGAGGCACGAAAGCGUGGGGAUCGAACAGGAUUAGAUACCCUGGUAGUCCACGCAGUAAACGAUGAUGGCUAACUGUCGGGCCUGCGGGUUCGGCGGCCAAG
This 722-nucleotide ribosomal RNA is filed under the name uncultured bacterium. RNAcentral's name for it is "bacterial SSU rRNA". It matches the Rfam family "Bacterial small subunit ribosomal RNA", at positions 127 to 851 of the family's 1533-position model. The record is from RNAcentral.